GGCUAUUGAUGUUACUCAAUGAAAUGUCUGAGAGGGAGAGAGAGGAAGAUGGAGAGGUAUGAGAGAGAAGAUGUCCAAUCAGCGUGCCAUGUCAGCACUAUUUGCCAAUGUGGAGGGGUAUGAUCGUAUGGUGAACGACUUAACAAGUUUAUGGACCCAAAAAUGCACUUUUUCAGAGAUUGUGGACCUAAGUGACACCGCCUUGUUGACGGACCUCCGAUGCAUUUUACUCCAAUUAUAUAUGCUUGGAGGAGUGUUCGAAGAGAGUUGAAUUAAUAAAGGUAGGUAUUAUUUGGGGAGUAGGCAACAAACAACUUCAAAAUGUGCGCACGAUCCCUCCUGAUGUGCAACUAGAACACCAUUUUUGACUCAGGUUGGGGGCUCCUCACAUUGUUGAAUGAGAUGAUUGAUCCACACGGAUAGGGGUAGAGCUAGAUUGAAAUCAUAAUGACUUGUUAGAAUGGGGAUUAAGCUUAAUUUUCACUAAAAUUUGUGGUCAAUUUUUGUGGCCCCAUUCAACCCCCUCUUGUGUUGCGCCUGUGGACGGGUACAUGAAUGUGGUAGGAAAAUAUUCGAUGGAAACCGGUGGAGACGCAAAAAAAUCCCUUAAAAGUAUGCUUAGAAGUAUUAAAAAAAUUAAACAAUCCACAUCCACAGUGCAGAAAGAUUCUCUUCUAGUACAUGCUUGACAUUUGUUAUUCUCGUAUGAUUUUUUACUAAAUGAUUUUGCACGCCAACAUUAAGGAAAAGGUAUACCUAAUUUUUUUAGAUCAAUUUAGGAGGAGCUAGACGAUUUUUCAUUAAGAAAAGAAAUAUGCACGAUUUUUCAUUAAGAAAAGAAAUAUGCACCUAAAUCCGAGCUACAGGAG
Molecule: long non-coding RNA, 869 nt
Filed under: Setaria viridis
Lineage: Eukaryota; Viridiplantae; Streptophyta; Magnoliopsida; Poales; Poaceae
Description: long non-coding RNA (SVIR_LNC006917)
Source: RNAcentral